ACUACACAGUAAAAUCAGCAGUGUAAUAUUUGCAGUGUUAAAAGUUAUUAAUUCCCAAAGAGUUGAAUUAACAAUCUACAGUGUUAAACAGUGGUGUUCAGUGUUGUCACAGGGUGUAAUAUUUAUGUAAUUUCACUUUUAGUGUAAGUGAAAAACUGAAAGUGUAACAAAGUGUAAAAAAAACAAAUUCCCGCCGAAUUGAUCUGACUCCGCCCCUCAAGCACCGCUGCCUCAAAGCGACGACGCCAUUUUAUCUUCAUGCGACCGAGACGUUAAAAUGGAUUGCUUUUCUCUUUAUAAAAUUACACGGGAUAAAUACUUUUUGUUGAUAAUUUUACUCAAAAUAUGAUUGGUGGUGAACACAUUUAGAAAUUACUAACUGCAAGUGUUUUUGUCAGGUUUACGGUGUUAUGUUCGUGAGGUGUAGAGAUGCAACGUUAGCCUACAGAAGAGUUAAAGUUUCUAAUGCGGGCUCGAUUUCCUGAAAUAAGAUCCUCUGGUCUCUAUUCCCGCCGAGGCCUGGUUUUACUACGAGUCUGAAGCAGCCACAUUUGGGCGGUUUUCUACUCAGAGGAGAGAAUUCAUCAAAUGAAUUGGCCCAGACGUCUGCAGUGUCAAGUGAAGGAAGCUCCUCUCAUAAGUAGGGUUGGGUAUCGUUUGGGUUUUUUUCGAUACCGGUGCCAAAUCGAUACUUUUAAAACGGUACCGGUGCCUAAACGGUGCCUGAACUGAUACUUAAAAAUAAUAAAAAUAAAUAAAAAUGACCAAUUAAUAAUUGGAUUGGCCAUUAGCACUAAACACAUGAUGUCUUUUUCAUUCAUACUGGAUGCCAGAGGGCGCCCUCGCGCAAAAAAUCCACAUAUCCAGUCACAGAAGUAGCGGAACUCAUGAAGCUCCAGGAAAUCCCCAAUAUGGACAAAUGCAUUGCUAUGGAUGUAACUGAGUAAACUAGAUAUAAAUGUUUUGAAUGAUAAAACAAAUACAAUAAACACUCGGCUACAACAAUGUAUAGUUUAUCUGUGUUAUUCAAGCCAUCUCUGGUAUUUUCAUAAUAAUUAAGUAUAUUUAUAAUCCAUUUCUAAUCGAUGUAUUAGUAGCCUAUGGAACAUAUUUUCUGCCUCAUUCUGUGACAAGAAGCUACAUCAGAUCACAAAAGGAAGCAUUUAACUGGUUUUGUGGACUAAAAAGGUUAUAAUGUUCUCUUUUGUUGGACAACAGGUUUAAAAACGUGAAUACAAGAGAAUUUUAGCUUUAGGCAUUUUAAUUUAAGAAUGUUUAGCUAAGCUAGUUAAUGGAGGGCUACCUGCUGCAGUCAGAGCAAGUGUAAUUUCUGCAUUCACGCGCUCCUCAGAUGCUCUCAUUUCCAGAGUUGUGCUUUUAAGUCGGAAUGUGAAAACAGCACGCUCGCGUUACUACAAAGAUUUAUUGGACUUGUAUUAUUAGAGCUUUCCGACUUGAGUUCACGUGCAUUUUUUCAGUCGGGAAAUUAUUUUUCACGUGCGGUGACGGUGAUGAUGCUUCUUACGUUCGUUUUGGAGAAACAAAGGACAAAUAUUUAAAUCGAUCGCUCAGGCAUGGCACCGAAAUGAGGCACCGAAAUCUGCGUUCUGAUUCGGUUCUAGUACAUACCGGUUACAUAGGUACCGGUGCCAUAUUGGUACCGGGUUUCGGUACCCAACCCUACUCAUAAGAUUGCAGACCUGGAGUCUGAUGACACUGAGCAAGAGUGAUGGAGUGAGCAGAAUGAUGAAGAUGAAGCC
This is a long non-coding RNA of Onychostoma macrolepis, 1760 nucleotides long. RefSeq lists it as uncharacterized. NCBI's taxonomy places the organism in Eukaryota, Metazoa, Chordata, Actinopteri, Cypriniformes, Cyprinidae. The transcript has 3 exons. The record is from RefSeq and is a predicted model, not a curated record.